GAUAGUGUAGCUUAGAGUAAAGCAUAACAUUGAAGAUGUUAGUACGGGUCGUAGAAAGCCCCACGGUCA
Molecule: non-coding RNA, 69 nt
Organism: Alosa alosa (allis shad)
Lineage: Eukaryota; Metazoa; Chordata; Actinopteri; Clupeiformes; Clupeidae
Source: the annotation of a RefSeq genome assembly